RNAcentral lists this transfer RNA (75 nucleotides) under Terriglobia bacterium. RNAcentral's name for it is "tRNA-Asn". It matches the Rfam family "tRNA". From Rfam's summary of the family: Transfer RNA (tRNA) molecules are approximately 80 nucleotides in length. Their secondary structure includes four short double-helical elements and three loops (D, anti-codon, and T loops). Lineage: Bacteria; Pseudomonadati; Acidobacteriota; Terriglobia. The record is from RNAcentral.
UCCUGAGUAGCUCAACGGUAGAGCAUUCGGCUGUUAACCGAAAUGUUGUAGGUUCGAAUCCUACCUCAGGAGCCA